AACGGUCUUUUAGGAGACAGUGGCGGACGGGUGAGUAACGCGUAAGAAUCUACCUUCAGGUUGGGGACAACCGCUGGAAACGGUGGCUAAUACCGAAUGUGCCGAGAGGUGAAAGGCUUGCUGCCUGAAGAAGAGCUUGCGUCUGAUUAGCUAGUUGGUAGUGUAAGAGACUACCAAGGCGACGAUCAGUAGCUGGUCUGAGAGGAUGAUCAGCCACACUGGGACUGAGACACGGCCCAGACUCCUACGGGAGGCAGCAGUGGGGAAUUUUCCGCAAUGGGCGAAAGCCUGACGGAGCAAUACCGCGUGAGGGAGGAAGGCUCUUGGGUUGUAAACCUCUUUUCUCAGGGAAGAACAGAAUGACGGUGCCUGAGGAAUAAGCAUCGGCUAACUCCGUGCCAGCAGCCGCGGUAAUACGGAGGAUGCAAGCGUUAUCCGGAAUGAUUGGGCGUAAAGGGUCCGCAGGUGGCAUUGUAAGUCUGCUGUUAAAGAGUUUGGCUCAACCAAAUAAGAGCAGUGGAAACUACAAAGCUAGAGUGUGGUCGGGGCAGAGGGAAUUCCUGGUGUAGCGGUGAAAUGCGUAGAUAUCAGGAAGAACACCAGUGGCGAAGGCGCUCUGCUAGGCCGAGACUGACACUGAGGGACGAAAGCUAGGGGAGCGAAUGGGAUUAGAUACCCCAGUAGUCCUAGCCGUAAACGAUGGAUACUAGGCGUAGCUCGUAUCGACCCGAGCUGUGCCG
Molecule: ribosomal RNA, 740 nt
Filed under: uncultured cyanobacterium
Lineage: Bacteria; Bacillati; Cyanobacteriota
Description: bacterial SSU rRNA
Rfam family: Bacterial small subunit ribosomal RNA
Source: RNAcentral